UGUUUGAUACAGAGCCUAGAAUGGUAAUACAACAAAAGAUUCUCAUCCAUUUCCCUCCUACUACCAGAUAAGAACAAUUGCUGCCCUCAAAUUGAUCUAAUGCUAUUUUACAACGUCGUUUCACCAAUGGCAAGCAAGAUCAUUCGUCUUCAGAAGUAUCGUCGGAUUGAUCAUCAGGUUCUCCCUCUGGCAGAGAAGAUACAAUUGCAGCACAGCAGAAAGAAUCGCGGUCCUUCAGGAGAAGGCAGCUUCCAGCUGAGUUCCAUUUCAAGUCGACUAUCCGGAAAUUCGGCAAGGGGAUGUUGACACAGCAAGCACCGGACGGCGUCCACAUGUACAGGUGUGAGCUCUCCGUGCACAAGACGAGGCGUGGACAUGUAGGGUCCCAGGCAGCAGCACGGAUCGGAUCUUUCUGCACAAGAACAGCUGCAAGCUCGAGGCGACAGAUGUCCCAUAUCCAAAGAGCAGUCGGCAUGUUGUCAUUCCGAGUGAAGAAAUAGUGGCUGUCGCUGCUCCAGGAGAGCAUACCUGCACAUGCUGUAAGACUAUUCAAUGACGAGGGAGCUGCCAAGCAACUAGCAAGAAAUGUUAAGAAAAAGGUCUAGUGGUGAAUGGGUGGUGGGUGGAACUGUAACAUAGGAAAAUGAGCAAGAAGCAGUAUAAAGCUAUCGCUCAAAAUCUUACCAGUGCCAUUGUCUCGCAUGUUACGAGAGAAGCCUUCACUUAGACAUAA
Lolium rigidum is the source of this 733-nucleotide long non-coding RNA. RefSeq lists it as uncharacterized. The transcript has 2 exons. NCBI's taxonomy places the organism in Eukaryota, Viridiplantae, Streptophyta, Magnoliopsida, Poales, Poaceae. The record is from RefSeq and is a predicted model, not a curated record.